RNAcentral lists this non-coding RNA (30 nucleotides) under Mus musculus (house mouse). The record is from RNAcentral. Lineage: Eukaryota; Metazoa; Chordata; Mammalia; Rodentia; Muridae.
UAAAAAUACAAGGAAGCUUUUGAUGAACAC